AGUUGGAUAAGGCACUUUAUUUUGUGGAUUCUGUCAAAGUAAGGGCCUUAUCCAUAGAG
RNAcentral lists this microRNA precursor (59 nucleotides) under Sarcophilus harrisii (Tasmanian devil). RNAcentral's name for it is "mir-7386 microRNA precursor family". It matches the Rfam family "mir-7386 microRNA precursor family". The record is from Rfam by way of RNAcentral. Lineage: Eukaryota; Metazoa; Chordata; Mammalia; Dasyuromorphia; Dasyuridae.